RNAcentral lists this ribosomal RNA (407 nucleotides) under uncultured bacterium. RNAcentral's name for it is "partial 16S ribosomal RNA". It matches the Rfam family "Bacterial small subunit ribosomal RNA", at positions 30 to 526 of the family's 1533-position model. The record is from RNAcentral.
AUUGAACGCUGGCGGCAGGCCUAACACAUGCAAGUCGAGCGGAGCGGCGGACGGGUGAGUAAUACCUAGGAAUGGGCAUGGUAGUGGGGGAUAACGUCCGGAAACGGGCGCUAAUACCGCAUACUAUCAGAUGAGGCUAGGUCGGAUUAGCUAGUUGGUGGGGUAAGGGCCUACCAAGGCGACGAUCCUUAACUGGUCUGAGAGGAUGAUCAGUCACACUGGAACUGAGACACGGUCCAGACUCCUACGGGAGGCAGCAGUGGGGAAUAUGGGAAAAUGGGCGAAAGCCUGAUGCAGCCAUGCCGCGUGUGUGAAGAAGGUCUUCGGAUUGUAAAGUACUUUAAGUUGGGAGGCGUGACCAGCAGAAUAAGCACCGGCUAACUUCGUGCCAGCAGCCGCGGUAAUUC